GGGCCUGUAACUCAGUUGGCAGAGUACUUGGCUCAUAACCGAGCGGUCCCGGGUUCGAGUCCCGGCGGGCCCA
Molecule: transfer RNA, 73 nt
Filed under: Nitrosopumilaceae archaeon
Lineage: Archaea; Thermoproteati; Nitrososphaerota; Nitrososphaeria; Nitrosopumilales; Nitrosopumilaceae
Description: tRNA-Ile
Rfam family: tRNA
About the family: Transfer RNA (tRNA) molecules are approximately 80 nucleotides in length. Their secondary structure includes four short double-helical elements and three loops (D, anti-codon, and T loops).
Source: RNAcentral